Molecule: ribosomal RNA, 513 nt
Filed under: uncultured bacterium
Lineage: Bacteria
Description: partial 16S ribosomal RNA
Rfam family: Bacterial small subunit ribosomal RNA
Source: RNAcentral
UGGGGAAUAUUGCACAAUGGGCGAAAGCCUGAUGCAGCAACGCCGCGUGCGGGAUGACGGCCUUCGGGUUGUAAACCGCUUUCAGCAGGGACGAAGGUUUUCUGACGGUACCUGCAGAAGAAGCACCGGCUAACUACGUGCCAGCAGCCGCGGUGAUACGUAGGGUGCGAGCGUUGUCCGGAAUUAUUGGGCGUAAAGAGCUUGUAGGCGGUCCGUUGCGUCGGAAGUGAAAACUCAGGGCUUAACCCUGAGCCUGCUUUCGAUACGGGCGGACUUGAGGGAUGUAGGGGAGAACGGAAUUCCUGGUGGAGCGGUGGAAUGCGCAGAUAUCAGGAGGAACACCAGUGGCGAAGGCGGUUCUCUGGACAUUUCCUGACGCUGAGAAGCGAAAGCGUUGGGGAGCAAACAGGCUUAGAUACCCUGGUAGUCCACGCCGUAAACGGUGGCACUAGGUGUGGGACCCAUUCCACGGGUUCCGUGCCGUAGCUAACGCAUUAAGUGCCCCGCCUGGGG